Molecule: small RNA, 675 nt
Filed under: Pan troglodytes (chimpanzee)
Lineage: Eukaryota; Metazoa; Chordata; Mammalia; Primates; Hominidae
Description: processed transcript
Source: RNAcentral
GCGCAGUCGCGGGAACAGCGCGGAGCAGAGAAGCACCAAAAGAGGCAAACUGAGAUGCAGACAAAUGAUCAUCUGUAUGCUGAUCAUUUUGAAUAGCAAGAAACACAUAAUCCAAAAACUUUAAUUAUUUAUGUUCAACUCUGUACUGGAAAGAAAGAGCAGGCAGGUUUUUUAAUAUAUAUUCUUUCUUUAAAAAGAGACCAAAACCUGUCAAAAAAAUACUACCGUGGAAAGCUCAUAAAUACUACAGUGUGAAGAACCCUGUGCUUAUCUUCAGUUUAUCAUCAGACAUCUUAGGGAAGUUUGAUAAAGAACACCAGGAGAAUUGAGAAUUAAAUGAAAAGGCACUGCAGAAACUUUCUGAAGACAAAAACCUUGCAGAAAGGGAAGAACUCACUCAUAAAUUAUCUAUUAUCACAACAAAAAUGGACGCAAAUGACAAAAAAAUACAGAGCUUGGAAAAACAACUGAGAUUGAACUGCAGAGCCUUUAGCCGGCAGCUGGCUAUUGAGACUCGGAAGACUUUAGCAGCUCAGACAGCUACCAAGACUCUGCAGGUGGAAGUAAAACACCUUCAACAAAAACUUAAGGAAAAGGAUCGUGAGCUUGAAAUUAAAAACAUCUAUAGUCAUCGAAUACUUAAAAAUUUACACGACACAGAGGACUAUCCAAAAG